AAGCUCUUCCUGGUGACAAUGUUGGGUUCAAUGUUAAGAAUGUUGCUGUGAAGGAUAUCAAGCGUGGGUAUGUUGCCUCAAACUCCAAGGAUGAUCCUGCUAAGGGUGCUGCCAGUUUCACUUCCCAGGUUAUCAUCAUGAACCACCCUGGUCAGAUCGGAAAUGGUUAUGCUCCAGUGUUGGAUUGCCACACUUCUCACAUUGCUGUUAAGUUCCAAGAGCUGUUGACCAAGAUUGACAGACGAUCAGGAAAGGAGCUUGAGAAGGAGCCCAAGUUUUUGAAGAAUGGUGAUGCAGGUAUGGUUAAGAUGAUGCCGACCAAGCCUAUGGUGGUGGAGACUUUCGCAGAGUACCCACCUCUUGGAAGGUUUGCUGUGAGGGACAUGCGUCAGACUGUUGCUGUUGGUGUGAUCAAGAGUGUUGACAA
RNAcentral lists this long non-coding RNA (427 nucleotides) under Lactuca sativa (garden lettuce). RNAcentral describes it as "long non-coding RNA (LSAT_LNC001846)". Lineage: Eukaryota; Viridiplantae; Streptophyta; Magnoliopsida; Asterales; Asteraceae. The record is from RNAcentral.